This 466-nucleotide ribosomal RNA is filed under the name uncultured bacterium. RNAcentral's name for it is "SSU rRNA". It matches the Rfam family "Bacterial small subunit ribosomal RNA", at positions 26 to 521 of the family's 1533-position model. The record is from RNAcentral.
AGCCUGAACGCUGGCGGCGUGGCUAAGACAUGCAAGUCGUACGGUGUAGCAAUACACAGUGGCGAACGGGAGAGUAAUGAAUCGCUAAUGUGCCCCGGACUCUGGGAUAGCCAGUUGAAAGACUGGGUAAUACCAGAUGACAUAUCUUUAUCGCAUGAUAGAGAUCUCAAAGGUCCGCCGGUCUGGGAGCAGGCGAUUUCGUAUCAGCUAGUUGGUGAGGUAACGGCUCACCAAGGCGACGACGCGUAGUCCGGACUGAGAGGUUGGCCGGCCUCAUUGGGACUGAGACACUGCCCAGACUCCUACGGGGGGCUGCAGUAACGAAUCUUCCGCAAUGCACGAAAGUGUGACGGAGCGACGCCGCGUGUGGGACGAAGUCCUUCGGGAUGUAAACCACUGUCAGGGGUUACCAAGUUCUGAGGAACCCCAGAGGAAGGACGGCUAACUCUGCGCCAGCAGCCGCGGU